UACGUAGGGCGCGAGCGUUGUCCGGAAUUAUUGGGCGUAAAGAGCUCGUAGGCGGCCUGUUGCGUCCGCUGUGAAAGCCCGGGGCUUAACCCCGGGUCGCAGUGGAUACGGGCAGGCUAGAGAUAGGUAGGGGAGAAUGGAAUUCCCGGUGUAGCGGUGAAAUGCGCAGAUAUCGGGAGGAACACCGGUGGCGAAGGCGGUUCUCUGGGCCUUACCUGACGCUGAGGAGCGAAAGCGUGGGGAGCGAACAGG
This 252-nucleotide ribosomal RNA is filed under the name uncultured bacterium. RNAcentral's name for it is "partial 16S ribosomal RNA". It matches the Rfam family "Bacterial small subunit ribosomal RNA", at positions 524 to 776 of the family's 1533-position model. The record is from RNAcentral.